This is a small nucleolar RNA of Coffea eugenioides, 121 nucleotides long. RefSeq annotates it as small nucleolar RNA snoR104. NCBI's taxonomy places the organism in Eukaryota, Viridiplantae, Streptophyta, Magnoliopsida, Gentianales, Rubiaceae. The record is from RefSeq and is a predicted model, not a curated record. The transcript has a single exon.
GGGUAGCUUCUGAAAGUGAGAUGCUACCCGAUAUGAUCUUCCUAUAGUAAAACCUUUGUAAUUGUCUACUUGCAGCACUCAACAAGUAGAGUUCUUGUACGCUCAAUUCUGAGGUACAGGG